AACACACAACGGAAAUCUUCGUCCCGCCCACUCCCUCUCCAUCCCUCAGACUCUUCUGGAGCGGUGUCAUUGGCUGUGCCCUCUGCCUGUCUCCAGGGUCUUCAUGAAUCACCAGUCUCAGAAAAGCAGUCAAGCCCUUCGAAGAGCAGACACCUGCCCACACGCGCUGCCUCCACCUCCCCACCUUGGAGUCACCUUCCACUCCUCCCAUUUGGUUAGCUUCAGUUUGUCAGAACCAGUUGGGAUGCAACAGGAUUUUCAGUUUUGCUGUCUUCCAUGCAUGAAUGGCUAGGAAACCAACAUGGCUUUGCCUGCCAAUGGAGAGAAGUGGAGAAGAAUGCUUCAAGGCAGAGAGCUUGGACUCCACAGAAAUGGCUAAAAGGGACAGACAUAAAAGAAACUCAACUUGAUUCAAGGUUUCUGAGCACUUGGUGCUUGAUUAAGCUUUCCUCUAGGUUCAUUGGCCUCUACGUUCCGUCUGGUCCAGG
This 488-nucleotide long non-coding RNA is filed under the name Pan troglodytes (chimpanzee). RNAcentral's name for it is "lncRNA (ENSPTRG00000053438.1)". Lineage: Eukaryota; Metazoa; Chordata; Mammalia; Primates; Hominidae. The record is from RNAcentral.